UUGAGAGAAUUGAAUAUAUGAAACUACCAACAGAACAGGUACAGCAUAGGCAUCAACAGCAACUUCCCCACAUUGUCUAGUCAAUAUGCUUCAAUUGUUAACCUCUUCAUGGGGGAACUGAAGAGAUGCCAUAUGUUAAUGACUUUUGGCUGCUACUAUAUU
This 162-nucleotide small RNA is filed under the name Chrysemys picta bellii (western painted turtle). RNAcentral's name for it is "TUC338 (ENSCPBG00000024000.1)". Lineage: Eukaryota; Metazoa; Chordata; Testudines; Emydidae. The record is from RNAcentral.